Molecule: ribosomal RNA, 167 nt
Filed under: Vigna radiata
Lineage: Eukaryota; Viridiplantae; Streptophyta; Magnoliopsida; Fabales; Fabaceae
Description: 5.8S ribosomal RNA
Rfam family: 5.8S ribosomal RNA
About the family: 5.8S ribosomal RNA (5.8S rRNA) is a component of the large subunit of the eukaryotic ribosome. It is transcribed by RNA polymerase I as part of the 45S precursor that also contains 18S and 28S rRNA. Functionally, it is thought that 5.8S rRNA may be involved in ribosome translocation.
Source: RNAcentral
AUCAAAACGACUCUCGGCAACGGAUAUCUCGGCUCUUGCAUCGAUGAAGAACGUAACGAAAUGCGAUACUUGGUGUGAAUUGCAGAAUCCCGUGAACCAUCGAGUCUUUGAACGCAAGUUGCGCCCAAAGCCAUUAGGCCGAGGGCACGCCUGCCUGGGUGUCACAC